GGCCCAAAUUUGAAGUACGGUAGAUUAUUAGGGUCAGCUGAUACUACUGAUCUACUCUACUUCAAAUUUGGGCCC
Molecule: non-coding RNA, 75 nt
Organism: Haemonchus contortus (barber pole worm)
Lineage: Eukaryota; Metazoa; Nematoda; Chromadorea; Rhabditida; Trichostrongylidae
Source: Rfam